GUCCUGGUCAGUUCCUGUCUGGGAGACCAGAUGCUGCUGGAAGUGGUGUUGGAGGGCCAGUAGGAGGCACUCUUUCCUCUGGUCUAAAAAUAUAUAUACCAAUGCCCCAGGGCAGUGAUUGGGGAGACUGCCCUGUGUAGGGUGCCAUCUUUCGGAUGGGACGUUAAACGGGUGUCCUGACUCUCUGAGCUCAUUAAAGAUCCCAUGGCACUUAUAGUAAGAGUAGAGGUGUUAACCCCUGGUGUCCUGGCUAAAUUCUCAAUCUGGCCCUCAAACCAUCAUGGUCACCUAAUAAUCCCCAGUUUACAAUUGGCUCAUUCAUCCCCUCCUCUCCCCUGUAACUAUUCCCCAGGUCGUUGCUGUAAAUAAGAAUGUGUUCUCAGUCAAUUUACCUGGUAAAAUAACAGAUAAAUAAGAAAUAAAUAGUGUGACAGCGUUCUAUUCUACAGCAUUGAAACACAUGAGCAAAACUGUUAGGAUUUGAAAUGAGACUUAGAAAUGUUUUUGUUAAUUAAUGAAUGUGCCACUAUUUAAAUGGAUCUGCUGUAUAACUGGUUUAAUCCUCAACAUGAGAUUAUUUUCAUAUUGUAAAAAAAAAAAAAAAAAAAAAAGGCUUCCUGUGAUGACUGUGAAAAACAAACUGUCAAACUGAAUAAUAUUGUUUCCUUAUUUGGUCGUCUCUUAACAAAUACAAAUAAAAAUCUCCCACAAAUAUGGUAUCUUCUCAAACAAUCAAUCAAUCAAAAUGUAUUUCCAUCUCUUUUAUGUAUCAGUGAUAUACAGAGCUUGACCUUGAGUCGCAAUUAGCAAGUUGGCAUCAUCAUAAGGCAAAUGUUUCCAUUAUAAUCUCCACUGCUUGUCCUCUACUGAGUUGAAAGUUAAUAAAUUAUGUAUUAUCUUGUACUAUACUUUCUUUCUGUCCCAUCCGGGUCUUUUUUUUUCCCCAGUCAGUUUCUCUCUUCCUCUUUGAACAUAAAAGUAACAGAAGGGGUGACGGCCGUCACGUGACAGUGAGCGUUUCGGGUUGCUCCAACUGUUUUCCGUUAUGUUUCGGGACGAUGGUCAUCGUGGUGCGUUCAAGACAACUGGGAACUCG
This is a long non-coding RNA of Oncorhynchus tshawytscha (Chinook salmon), 1096 nucleotides long. The record is from Ensembl. NCBI's taxonomy places the organism in Eukaryota, Metazoa, Chordata, Actinopteri, Salmoniformes, Salmonidae.